Rhinolophus ferrumequinum (greater horseshoe bat) is the source of this 759-nucleotide long non-coding RNA. RefSeq lists it as uncharacterized. The transcript has 3 exons. NCBI's taxonomy places the organism in Eukaryota, Metazoa, Chordata, Mammalia, Chiroptera, Rhinolophidae. The record is from RefSeq and is a predicted model, not a curated record.
GAACUUGAUGCAGUAAAUCAGCCGCAAUCAAUACCUGAUGAAGGAGAGGAUGUGGGAAGGGCUCCUGGGCUUCCUGCCCCUGCAUUAGGGAACGCAUGUGAUGUCUGAGUGCAGAGGUUUGUAGAAACACGGGCUGGAGUUAUGAGCAGCGGGGCGUAGAUCUGGAUGUCCCCCGCACUAGUAGACUGUGAACAUUUUGGAGGCUGCCGUGUAUGAACAGAGCUCAGAAAUAGCCUCCAUUCUUAGGAAGCACAGCCAGGGCUCAUCGCCAAGGACAAAGCCAAGGUCACUAGGAAAGAAUGGGGCUGGGCGGCAACUCAGCCACGAGUGUCACAAUGAGGUGAGAGAGGAGGGGCUGGCACGUGACUUAGUCACAACAACCAGUGUGGUGUUUUCCCGGAUGUCGUUCACUGAACCCUCAUCAAAGGGUUUUGGUGGCCCGAGGAACUGCAGUCCAGACUACAGUUGGAGCCGGCUUGUCCAAGCCUGGCUUUCCCUCUGUAACGUGGACAUGAAUGAUCCCUCUCUCCCGAGCUGGGUGAGGCUGAAUUAUGGAAAUAAGUGAAUGCCCCGUGUAAACUCUAGGAAGUACCUUAAUCAGCAAAAGAAAAGCGGUGGGUGUGGUCCCCUUUGCUCCAAGCACUUCCUUCUACCUUUUGGUGACAUCGUAUUUGUGCAGCCGGUGUCAGCGUCAAAGCCUUUCACCAGAGAGGACUUUUCUGCUCUCUCAGUCUAAAUUAUGGCUCUUUUGGUGAAGUU